This is a non-coding RNA of Carica papaya (papaya), 796 nucleotides long. The record is from RefSeq and is a predicted model, not a curated record. NCBI's taxonomy places the organism in Eukaryota, Viridiplantae, Streptophyta, Magnoliopsida, Brassicales, Caricaceae.
AUCGGAGUGGGUGGCCGGUUGGACUAUUGGAAGUACCUUUCUGGGGUUGCCAUUGGAGGAUGUGAUAUGAAGAUGAUUUUUGCAUGAGGAAAUUGUUCUCUCCCAAAGUCAGAUCUUCAGUGGCCUUGGACGAUUUUUCCAUCAAAUGCUAAUGCAAGUUGGAAUUUUGUAAUUUUCACAAGGGGAAGAUGUGAUAAUUUUGGUGUUCAAUUGAAGAAUUUUGCACAAUUCCUCAGUGAAAAUCUGAGAAAGGAAAAUUAAUGAUCAAUGGAAUGAAAAAGGAAAAAGCAUUACAGUGAUCUUGUAGCAUUUGUAUGUACUUGCGUAUCGAUUCGCCAUUUGCUGUGCCGUUUGAGAAUCUGAGUGGUACAAGUUGGAAGCCACUGCACUAGCUUGGAGGAUGAAGUGAGAUGUCCUGUCCAGCUAGGUGACGACACUUUCACUCUGAUUCCUUGAUAUUAUAUUGCCUCUACAGGUGCAAGUUGCAAUUUUGAUUGAUAGACAUGGUGUGUUAUUAGUGCAUGCAUAUUUACCCCUGUAUGAAUUAUCCUGCCGAGCCUCUUCAAUGUUGGAACUUUGAGUAUAUAUCUUUCUAUGAAAAAAAAAUUAUUUGUUUGAUUUGGACAAUACUCGAGUAGGCUUAAGCAUAUUUGGUAUUAAACACCAAGCUCUUCCCCUAGUUUCGAGAAAUAUACUUUUGAUAUAUGUUUAUGUGAAAACAUGUAUUGUUGAGAAUGAGAACAAUGUGUAUUGAAAAACAGGAUUUGGAAAAUGAUAUUGAAAAAGUGUUAUUAAA